CAGCCGCCGCGGGAAUACAGAGGGUGCGAGCGUUAAUCGGAUUUACUGGGCGUAAAGCGUGCGUAGGCGGCUAAUUGAGUCGGAUGUGAAAUCCCCGAGCUUAACUUGGGAAUUGCAUUCGAUACUGGUUAGCUAGAGUGUGGGAGAGGAUGGUAGAAUUCCAGGUGUAGCGGUGAAAUGCGUAGAGAUCUGGAGGAAUACCGAUGGCGAAGGCAGCCAUCUGGCCUAACACUGACGCUGAGGUACGAAAGCAUGGGGAGCAAGCAGGAUUAGAUACCCCGGUAGUCCCUGUCUCUUAUAC
This 301-nucleotide ribosomal RNA is filed under the name uncultured bacterium. RNAcentral's name for it is "partial 16S ribosomal RNA". It matches the Rfam family "Bacterial small subunit ribosomal RNA", at positions 509 to 807 of the family's 1533-position model. The record is from RNAcentral.